GUUAGGAAUAUUGGACAAUGGGCGAAAGCCUGAUCCAGCCAUGCCGCGUGUGUGAAGAAGGUCUUCGGAUUGUAAAGCACUUUAAGUUGGGAGGAAGGGCAGUAAGUUAAUACCUUGCUGUUUUGACGUUACCGACAGAAUAAGCACCGGCUAACUUCGUGCCAGCAGCCGCGGUAAUACGAAGGGUGCAAGCGUUAAUCGGAAUUACUGGGCGUAAAGCGCGCGUAGGUGGUUUUGUAAGUUGGAGGUGAAAUCCCCGGGCUCAACCUGGGAACUGCCUCCAAAACUGCAUGACUAGAGUACGGUAGAGGGUAGUGGAAUUUCCUGUGUAGCGGUGAAAUGCGUAGAUAUAGGAAGGAACACCAGUGGCGAAGGCGACUACCUGGACUGAUACUGACACUGAGGUGCGAAAGCGUGGGGAGCAAACAGGAUUAGAUACCCGAGUAGUCC
This 450-nucleotide ribosomal RNA is filed under the name uncultured bacterium. RNAcentral describes it as "bacterial SSU rRNA". It matches the Rfam family "Bacterial small subunit ribosomal RNA", at positions 354 to 796 of the family's 1533-position model. The record is from RNAcentral.